AUCUACGGCUUUGACACCAUGAACAAGCCUGAUCCUGUCUGAUCUCGGAAGCUAAGCUGGGUUGGGCCUGGUUAGUACUUGGGUAGGAGACUACCUAGGAAGACCAGGUGCUGUAGGCA
This 119-nucleotide ribosomal RNA is filed under the name Pteropus alecto (black flying fox). Lineage: Eukaryota; Metazoa; Chordata; Mammalia; Chiroptera; Pteropodidae. The record is from RNAcentral.